RNAcentral lists this ribosomal RNA (253 nucleotides) under uncultured Oscillospira sp. RNAcentral's name for it is "partial 16S ribosomal RNA". It matches the Rfam family "Bacterial small subunit ribosomal RNA", at positions 524 to 776 of the family's 1533-position model. Lineage: Bacteria; Bacillati; Bacillota; Clostridia; Eubacteriales; Oscillospiraceae. The record is from RNAcentral.
UACGUAGGUGGCAAGCGUUGUCCGGAUUUACUGGGUGUAAAGGGCGUGCAGCCGGAGAGGCAAGUCAGAUGUGAAAUCCGCGGGCUCAACCCGCGAACUGCAUUUGAAACUGCUUCCCUUGAGUAUCGGAGAGGUAACCGGAAUUCCUAGUGUAGCGGUGAAAUGCGUAGAUAUCACGCAGAACUCCGAUUGCGAAGGCAGCAUACCGGCGCCCAACUGACGCUGAAGCACGAAAGCGUGGGUAUCGAACAGG